UACAGAGGGUGCGAGCGUUGUCCGGAAUCACUGGGCGUAAAGGGCGCGUAGGUGGCGGGCCAAGUCCAUGGUGAAAGCUCGAUGCUCAACAUCGAGUCGGCCACGGAUACUGGUGCGCUGGAGCACUGUAGAGGCUAAUGGAAUUCCGGGUGUAGCGGUGGAAUGCGUAGAGAUCCGGAAGAACACCGGUGGCGAAGGCGGCUUUCUGGGCAUUUCCUGACGCUGAGACGCGAAAGCGUGGGGAGCGAACCGG
RNAcentral lists this ribosomal RNA (253 nucleotides) under uncultured bacterium. RNAcentral's name for it is "partial 16S ribosomal RNA". It matches the Rfam family "Bacterial small subunit ribosomal RNA", at positions 524 to 776 of the family's 1533-position model. The record is from RNAcentral.